GUGCAGUUGAGGCAGGCGGAAUUCGUGGUGUAGCGGUGAAAUGCUUAGAUAUCACGAAGAACUCCGAUUGCGAAGGCAGCCUGCUAAGCUGCAACUGACAUUGAGGCUCGAAAGUGUGGGUAUCAAACAGGAUUAGAUACCCUGGUAGUCCACACGGUAAACGAUGAAUACUCGCUGUUUGCGAUAUACGGCAAGCGGCCAAGCGAAAGCGUUAAGUAUUCCACCUGGGGAGUACGCCGGCAACGGUGAAACUCAAAGGAAUUGACGGGGGCCCGCACAAGCGGAGGAACAUGUGGUUUAAUUCGAUGAUACGCGAGGAACCUUACCCGGGCUUAAAUUGCAGAUGAAUUACGGUGAAAGCCGUAAGCCGCAAGGCAUCUGUGAAGGUGCUGCAUGGUUGUCGUCAGCUCGUGCCGUGAGGUGUCGGCUUAAGUGCCAUAACGAGCGCAACCCUUGUUGUCAGUUACUAACAGGUUCCGCUGAGGACUCCGACAAGACUGCCAUCGUAAGAUGUGAGGAAGGUGGGGAUGACGUCAAAUCAGCACGGCCCUUACGUCCGGGGCUACACACGUGUUACAAUGGGGGGUACAGAGGGCCGCUACCACGCGAGUGGAUGCCAAUCCCAAAAACCUCUCUCAGUUCGGACUGGAGUCUGCAACCCGACUCCACGAAGCUGGAUUCGCUAGUAAUCGCGCAUCAGCCACGGCGCGGUGAAUACGUUCCCGGGCCUUGUACACACCGCCCGUCAAGCCAUGGGAGCCGGGGGUACCUGAAGUGCGUAACCGCGAGGAGCGCCCUAGGGUAAAACUG
Molecule: ribosomal RNA, 810 nt
Filed under: uncultured organism
Description: SSU rRNA
Rfam family: Bacterial small subunit ribosomal RNA
Source: RNAcentral